RNAcentral lists this long non-coding RNA (224 nucleotides) under Lathyrus oleraceus (garden pea). RNAcentral describes it as "Pisum sativum (pea) long non-coding RNA (PSAT_LNC018947)". The record is from RNAcentral. Lineage: Eukaryota; Viridiplantae; Streptophyta; Magnoliopsida; Fabales; Fabaceae.
GCGUUGUUUGGUGGUUCAACAACGGUUAUGGAGACCGAAAGGAUGACGACGACGGUGGGAGCUUUUAACGGAAGGGGCGGACAAUUGUGUUGAGGUGGAAAGUUAGAUUUGUCGGAAGGGAUUGAAAGGGAGAAGAUAUGUUUCCGAUGAGAGUUUUAUGUGUUAUUGUGUAGAGUGGCCGGAGUCGUGAAGCAGUAGUGUGAAGGUUGUGGUGUGUAGCUUGU